CAAUAAGCGGAGGAAAAGAAACCAACAGGGAUUGCCCUAGUAACGGCGAGUGAAGCGGCAACAGCUCAAAUUUGAAAUCUGGCGCAAGCCCGAGUUGUAAUUUGUAGAGGAUGUUUCUGGCGACGUGCCUUCCGAGUUCCCUGGAACGGGACGCCAUAGAGGGUGAGAGCCCCGUACGGUUGGAUGCCUAGCCUCUGUGAAACUCCUUCGACGAGUCGAGUAGUUUGGGAAUGCUGCUCUAAAUGGGAGGUAUACGUCUUCUAAAGCUAAAUACCGGCCAGAGACCGAUAGCGCACAAGUAGAGUGAUCGAAAGAUGAAAAGCACUUUGAAAAGAGGGUUAAAAAGUACGUGAAAUUGUUGAAAGGGAAGCGUUCAUGACCAGACUUGGGCAGGUUGAUCAUCCGUGGUUCUCCGCGGUGCACUCUGCCUGCCCAGGCCAGCAUCAGUUCGCCCCGGGGGAUAAAGGUUUCGGGAAUGUGGCUCCCUCGGGAGUGUUAUAGCCCGUUGCGUAAUACCCUGGGGCGGACUGAGGUUCGCGCUCUGCAAGGAUGCUGGCGUAAUGGUCAUCAACGACCCGUCUUGAAACACGGACCAAGGAGUCGUCUUCGUAUGCGAGUGUUCGGGUGUCAAACCCCUACGCGUAAUGAAAGUGAACGUAGGAGAGAGCUUCGGCGCAUCUCCGACCGAUCCUGAUGUUCUCGGAUGGAUUUGAGUAAGAGCAUACGGGGCCGGACCCGAAAGAAGGUGAACUAUGCCUGUAUAGGGUGAAGCCAGAGGAAACUCUGGUGGAGGCUCGCAGCGGUUCUGACGUGCAAAUCGAUCGUCAAAUAUGGGCAUGGGGGCGAAAGACUAAUCGAACCUUCUAGUAGCUGGUUUCCGCCGAAGUUUCCCUCAGGAUAGCAGUAUUGAACUCAGUUUUAUGAGGUAAAGCGAAUGAUUAGGGACCCGGGGGCGCUAUAUUGCCUUCAUCCAUUCUCAAACUUUAAAUAUGUAAGAAGC
This 1000-nucleotide ribosomal RNA is filed under the name Clonostachys grammicospora. RNAcentral's name for it is "LSU rRNA". It matches the Rfam family "Eukaryotic large subunit ribosomal RNA", at positions 44 to 1081 of the family's 3401-position model. The record is from RNAcentral. Lineage: Eukaryota; Fungi; Ascomycota; Sordariomycetes; Hypocreales; Bionectriaceae.